This 1234-nucleotide ribosomal RNA is filed under the name metagenome. Its description in RNAcentral is "bacterial LSU rRNA". It matches the Rfam family "Bacterial large subunit ribosomal RNA", at positions 1564 to 2808 of the family's 2925-position model. The record is from RNAcentral.
UGAAUACGAGACGCUAAGGCGUCGAAGUAGUGUAUGUCAUACUUCCAAGAAAAGCUUGCACUGUCAUAGAUAAAAAACGCCUGUACCAUAACCGACACAGGUGGGUAGGUAGAGUAUACUAAGGGGCGCGAGAUAACUCUCUCUAAGGAACUCGGCAAAAUAACUCCGUAACUUCGGGAGAAGGAGUGCCUUAUUAUUAAGGCUGCAAUAACAAGAUCCAAGCAACUGUUUAUCAAAAACACAGGUCUCCGCUAAGUCGUAAGACGAUGUAUGGGGGCUGACGCCUGCCCAGUGCCAGAAGGUUAAAGAAGUUGGUUAGCAUUUGCGAAGCUGAUAACUGAAGCCCUGGUGAACGGCGGCCGUAACUAUAACGGUCCUAAGGUAGCGAAAUUCCUUGUCGGGUAAGUUCCGACCCGCACGAAAGGCGUAAUGAUUUGGAUACUGUCUCGGAGAGGGGCUCGGUGAAAUAGACUUGUCUGUGAAGAUGCGGACUACCUGCACCAGGACAGAAAGACCCUAUGAAGCUUUACUGUAACUUGAAAUUGAAAUUGGACUUUAUUCGCGCAGCAUAGGUGGGAGGCGUUGAUUAUAAUCUUGUGGGAUUAUUGGAGCCAUCAGUGAGAUACCACUCUUGUAAUGUUAGAUUUCUAACUUUGAAUCAUUAUCUGGUCAAAGAACAGUUUCAGGCGGGCAGUUUGACUGGGGCGGUCGCCUCCUAAACGGUAACGGAGGCGUACAAAGGUUUCCUCUGAACGGUUAGAAAUCGUAUCUAGAGUGUAAAGGCAUAAGGAAGCUUGACUGUGAGACCUACAAGUCGAGCAGGGACGAAAGUCGGUCUUAGUGAUCUGACGGUACUGAGUGGAAAGGCCGUCACUCAACGGAUAAAAGUUACUCUAGGAUAACAGGCUGAUCUCCCCCAAGAGUUCACAUCGACGGGGAGGUUUGGCACCUCGAUGUCGGCUCAUCGCAUCCUGGGGCGGUAGUACGUCCCAAGGGUUGGGCUGUUCGCCCAUGAAAGCGGUACGCGAGCUGGGUUCAGAACGUCGUGAGACAGUUCGGUCCAUAUCCGGUGUAGGCGUUAGAAUAUUGAGAGGAGCCUUCUUUAGUACGAGAGGACCGAGAAGGACAUACCUCUGGUGUACCAGUUAUCGUGCCAACGGUAAACGCUGGGUAGCUAUGUAUGGAGUGGAUAACCGCUGAAAGCAUCUAAGUGGGAAGCCCACCUCAAGAUAAG